Molecule: long non-coding RNA, 718 nt
Organism: Herpailurus yagouaroundi (jaguarundi)
Lineage: Eukaryota; Metazoa; Chordata; Mammalia; Carnivora; Felidae
Exons: 2
Source: RefSeq, a predicted model, not a curated record
AGGACCUUUUGGACAUUCUCACAAGCACUCCGUGAAAGAAAGCGUCGAACGUUCCUUUGGGCAUCUUUCCCCAGAGGGCCCAAAACGCCAAAUUGCAACAGUGGCAGCCAACUAAGACCCCUCCACUCCUUGGACACUCCCCACCCUCCUGCAUCCUGCCCUGGAGGCACAAGAAGCAGCAGGUAGCUGGUGGAAGAGAAAGUGCAGGGAAGAGUAGAGAAGCUGACUGGAUAGCCCUUCCCCACUGCAGACUCCCAGACCCACAUACCUGAGCUAUGGUGGAUGGGAGAAGGUUUACAUUGGAUGCAUGAUUGGAAGUUUGGUAGUACUCUGGGCUUUCUAGUACCUGCAAAGGAGAUCUGUGAGACAGAUAUUAUCCAGAGGCAGGAAAGGCGAUCUGACAGAGGGCUGGAAAGAAGACUGUUUCCCACUUUGCUCCCUAAGAAGUCCAGCCCAUUCAAAAGCUGAGUCUACAUCUAGAGCAUAAUUACGGAUGACAGGGUGACUGAAAACACAUCGUUCCUUUACAAGCAACAUGGCCACCAAAUGCAGGACGACCCCUCAACAGCAUCCUGGAUCAGCGAAGCCCGUAGUGAAGGAAUCUUCCUAGAGAAUUCUCUUUAUGCGCCUGUAUCAUGCUUAUUGUGGCUUCCACUGCAUGGUUCUGACAGUCAGACAUCUGAAAAUAAAUUAUCAUGGUAAGGAUUGUUAUUUUAAA